RNAcentral lists this ribosomal RNA (253 nucleotides) under uncultured bacterium. RNAcentral describes it as "partial 16S ribosomal RNA". It matches the Rfam family "Bacterial small subunit ribosomal RNA", at positions 524 to 776 of the family's 1533-position model. The record is from RNAcentral.
UACGUAGGGUGCAAGCGUUGUCCGGAAUUAUUGGGCGUAAAGAGCUCGUAGGCGGUCUGUCGCGUCGGAUGUGAAAAUCCAGGGCUCAACCCUGGACCUGCAUUCGAUACGGGCAGACUAGAGUUCGGCAGGGGAGACUGGAAUUCCUGGUGUAGCGGUGAAAUGCGCAGAUAUCAGGAGGAACACCGGUGGCGAAGGCGGAUCUCUGGGCCUUACCUGACGCUGAGGCGCGAAAGCUAGGGGAGCAAACAGG